This 161-nucleotide ribosomal RNA is filed under the name uncultured bacterium. Its description in RNAcentral is "partial 16S ribosomal RNA". It matches the Rfam family "Bacterial small subunit ribosomal RNA", at positions 355 to 507 of the family's 1533-position model. The record is from RNAcentral.
CGGGGAAUAUUGGACAAUGGGCGAAAGCCUGAUCCAGCCAUGCCGCGUGUGUGAAGAAGGCCUUUUGGUUGUAAAGCACUUUAAGCGAGGAGGAGGCUACUUGGAUUAAUACUCUAGGAUAGUGGACGUUACUCGCAGAAUAAGCACCGGCUUUCUCUCUG